UAAUAGUGUAUAUUAAAGUUGUUGCAGUUAAAAAGCUCGUAGUUGAAUGUUGGUGUCGAACGAGCGGUCAGCUUCGGCUGUACUGCUCUCUCGACUCCUUCCUUCUGUGGACUACGUCGCACUUUACUGUGUGGCGCUAGGACGCAGAUCGUUUACUGUGAAAAAAUUAGAGUGUUCAAAGCAGGCCGUACGCUUGAAUACAUUAGCAUGGAAUAAUGGAAUAGGACGUCGGGCCUAUUUUGUUGGUUCUAGGACCGUCGUAAUGAUUAAUAGGGACAGUUGGGGCCGUUUAUAUUCCGUAGUAAGAGGUGAAAUUCUUGGAUUUACGGAAGAUAAACUACUGCGAAAGCAUUCGGCAAGGAUGUUUUCGUUAA
This 374-nucleotide ribosomal RNA is filed under the name uncultured eukaryote. RNAcentral describes it as "partial 18S ribosomal RNA". It matches the Rfam family "Eukaryotic small subunit ribosomal RNA", at positions 592 to 976 of the family's 1831-position model. The record is from RNAcentral.